Molecule: non-coding RNA, 117 nt
Filed under: Pontibacillus halophilus
Lineage: Bacteria; Bacillati; Bacillota; Bacilli; Caryophanales; Bacillaceae
Also listed under: 1 other name
Description: SAM-I sequence
Rfam family: SAM riboswitch aptamer (S box leader)
About the family: The SAM riboswitch is found upstream of a number of genes which code for proteins involved in methionine or cysteine biosynthesis in Gram-positive bacteria.
Source: RNAcentral
CUCUUAUCGAGAGAGGCAGAGGGACUAGGCCCUACGACGCCCAGCAACCAUCAAGUGUAAGUAUCACUUGAAAAGGUGCUAAUUCCUACAGGUCAACGUUGAUCUGACAGAUAAGAG